GAAGUAAAAGUCGUAACAAGGUUUCCGUAGGUGAACCUGCGGAAGGAUCAUUACCGAGUGAGGGCCCUUUGGGUCCAACCUCCCACCCGUGUUUAUUUACCUCGUUGCUUCGGCGGGCCCGCCUUAACUGGCCGCCGGGGGGCUCACGCCCCCGGGCCCGCGCCCGCCGAAGACACCCCCGAACUCUGCCUGAAGAUUGUCGUCUGAGUGAAAAUAUAAAUUAUUUAAAACUUUCAACAACGGAUCUCUUGGUUCCGGCAUCGAUGAAGAACGCAGCGAAAUGCGAUACGUAAUGUGAAUUGCAAAUUCAGUGAAUCAUCGAGUCUUUGAACGCACAUUGCGCCCCCUGGUAUUCCGGGGGGCAUGCCUGUCCGAGCGUCAUUGCUGCCCUCAAGCCCGGCUUGUGUGUUGGGCCCCGUCCUCCGAUUCCGGGGGACGGGCCCGAAAGGCAGCGGCGGCACCGCGUCCGGUCCUCGAGCGUAUGGGGCUUUGUCACCCGCUCUGUAGGCCCGGCCGGCGCUUGCCGAUCAACCCAAAUUUUUAUCCAGGUUGACCUCGGAUCAGGUAGGGAUACCCGCUGAACUUAAGCAUAUCAAUAAGCGGAGGAAAAGAAACCAACAGGGAUUGCCCCAGUAACGGCGAGUGAAGCGGC
RNAcentral lists this unclassified non-coding RNA (652 nucleotides) under Penicillium expansum. RNAcentral describes it as "sequence contains 18S rRNA gene, ITS1, 5.8S rRNA gene, ITS2, 28S rRNA gene". The stretch from base 229 to 381 matches the Rfam family "5.8S ribosomal RNA". Lineage: Eukaryota; Fungi; Ascomycota; Eurotiomycetes; Eurotiales; Aspergillaceae. The record is from RNAcentral.